CACGGGGGGAGCAAGCGUUGUUCGGAAUCACUGGGCGUAAAGGGCGUGUAGGCGGUCAAGUAAGUGGAAUGUGAAAGCCCCCGGCUUACCCGGGGAUCUGCAUCCCAAACUGCUUGGCUUGAGUACGGGAGAGGAUAGGGGAAUUCCUGGUGUAGCGGUGAAAUGCGUAGAUAUCAGGAGGAACACCGGUGGCGAAGGCAGGUCUCUGGGCUGACACUGACGCUCAUGCACGAAAGCGUGGGGAGCAAACAGG
This 253-nucleotide ribosomal RNA is filed under the name uncultured bacterium. RNAcentral's name for it is "partial 16S ribosomal RNA". It matches the Rfam family "Bacterial small subunit ribosomal RNA", at positions 524 to 776 of the family's 1533-position model. The record is from RNAcentral.